UCUAGACACAAGGUUUGCGGAACACAUGACCUCUAUGAUCUCUCGCCAAAGCGGCUAUGGAGGCACGAGAGUCUUGCAUCAAUGUUCACUUGAAGUAAGGGGGGAGGAGUCCAUUUUGGAGGGUCGUCGUUCACAACUCGUGACUACGAGCAACGUUCCAUCGCAACUCAUGGUAGAUGUCCUGUAUAUGUCGAAUUACUGAAGGAAGAUCCAUUUGGGAACGAGCUUCCAGAAUUUUGUUUCGACGCUCCGAUAAACCCACUAAACUAUCUCGACCAUAUUGCGAAAAUCUUCGCAAUAAAUGUCAGGUGGAAGGCCGAAAGCGAGGAGGCGCAGAGAUCACAUAGCACACAUGUAAAAAACAGAACCGCAAAAGAAGUUGAUAUGUCCAAGCCCCAGCCACCUCGACUCCAUACAAUUCAGAUCUCAACAACCGAGAGCGGAUUCUUAUGAAGACUGUACUUCUGAUUAACUUGGAGGUCAAGGACAACCAUGAGGAGGCAGCAACUGGAGCUCAGCGUGCUUUAGAUCUUUGUCGAGAGAGGCAGAACAGGCGGAAAUUUUUAUUCAGCAUUUCCUUCUAUUGAUGA
Eucalyptus grandis is the source of this 590-nucleotide long non-coding RNA. RefSeq lists it as uncharacterized. The transcript has 3 exons. NCBI's taxonomy places the organism in Eukaryota, Viridiplantae, Streptophyta, Magnoliopsida, Myrtales, Myrtaceae. The record is from RefSeq and is a predicted model, not a curated record.